Long non-coding RNA from Oncorhynchus tshawytscha (Chinook salmon), 868 nucleotides. The record is from Ensembl. NCBI's taxonomy places the organism in Eukaryota, Metazoa, Chordata, Actinopteri, Salmoniformes, Salmonidae.
CUUAGCAACAUAGAGGAAGAGUGGAGCUCCGUGAAACAGUGGAAGUCUAGCCGCUACCUCUCAGUGAGAGAGAGAGAGAAGAGGGACUCUAUGGUUCCACCGGCUUCCUUUUGGCCUGAGACACGUCGGCCAUGGCCGAUGGUGGCUGGCCCGCUCCAGGAGGCUGAAGUGCGUGAUGUUCCUCCGCCUCCUCUAGACAUCGAGGGGGUUCCGGCGUACUCUGUUCGAUCCAUUUUGGAUUUGAGACGUCGGGCGAGGGGCCUUCAGUACCUCGUGGACUGGGAGGGGUACGGGCCGGAGUAGAGAUGCUGGGUUCCGGUGGAGGACGUGUUAGAUCCUUCCAUGUUAUCAGAAUUCCACAGUCUCCAUCCGGAUCGCUCUGCACCUCGCCCUCCGGGUCGUCCCCGAGGCCGAUGUCAACGCGCGGCUGGAGCCUCUCCUUGUUCGGGCGGGGCUCGGCAUUCGACGUCACCGGUCUUCUAGCCAUCAUUGAUCCAUUUUUCAUUUUCCAUUGGUUUUGUCUAGUCUUCCCACACACCUGUUUUCAAUCCCAUUCAUUACCUGUUGUGUAUUCAACCCUCUGUUUCCCCUCAUGUCUUUGUCAGAGAUUGUCAUUGUAGUGUUUUUGUUGUAUAGGUGCGCGACGGGUCUUCGUACCCAUAUUUGUUUAUGUUCUUUUCCUGUUUAGUGUUAUGGAGCAUGUUACUAGGACAUUAAUAAAAGACUCCAUUUUACACUCAGUUUGACUCUCCUGCGCCUGACGUCCCUGCCACCUAUACACAUAUGCCUGACAACAAUAGCUCUGCUGGAGUCACUUUUAUUGAUAACUUUGACCCCUUCUGGAAACAGAAGAUACUGUGAAUGACGG